Anas platyrhynchos (mallard) is the source of this 1480-nucleotide long non-coding RNA. RefSeq lists it as uncharacterized. The record is from RefSeq and is a predicted model, not a curated record. Lineage: Eukaryota; Metazoa; Chordata; Aves; Anseriformes; Anatidae.
GACAUUGCAGUACAACCCCCUUUGCUGCUGUUUGAGGUAGGGCAGUCCUAAAUGGCUUUUUGAGGCAUAGCUACAGCAACACCUCUCUGCUGGAGUCUGGGCCUUAUUGGCAAACGUGCUCGUUUGCUGGAGCAGUAAGUCAAACACCAUAAAUCACACUGGGACAGGGACCUCUUCUUGGCACAGGCUCUCGGAGGGGGUUUGUCGAGCCCCAAGGUGACAUCUCUUCAGUGCCAAAUCUCUGUUGCCUGCACCUGUCUUGAGAGCAGCUGACUGAUGCGGUCCCCAUCAUCUAGUCAUGCUAAAAGGAAGAGGAAGAGCGGUUCCUUCGUGGUUCCUGUCAGGUGCUGUGGUGGCGUGUCACCUCCUGGCUGGCAGCAGUGGGACCCUUGAGACCCCGAGGACAGGAACAGCAGUGCACAGUCACACUCCCUGCCUGCUCUUCAGUUGCUGCCAUCAGCUGUGUUCUGCGUCUGAGGCUUCACGUUCGCAGUUGGCUCCGAACUCCCAGUGCGGACACACAGACGGUAUCUUCCUGGAGCUCCUUCUUGAGACACAGUUUCCCUCUCAGAGCUGCAGAUUUUAUCAUCAUUCCCCAAAUGUAUGUCUUAAUUCACGUUUCAUAUUGCCAACCAGGGAAUUGGAAGGUUUCAGUGAGAUACUACUUGUUUUGAAACACAGAAGGAAUUUAUAUUAGCGAAUUGUUCCAAUACUGCUCUUUCAAAAAGUUUUAAACAAUUUAUUCCUCACAGAUUUGAAUUGUUUUAGUUUUUGAAAAUUUGAAGUGUUUGAAACAUGUGUGUUUUUCUUUCUAUAUUGUGAGCACAGUUACUCCCUGCGUGACUCCCCUGAAGUCAGUGGAGCUGCACUGAAAUUAGUUGGGAAAAUGUUAAUAGAGUAACAGAUACUGUCGAUUACAGUUAUACAGAAGAAUAAAGAGUAGGGAUGGCAGUGGAAAUGACAAAGAACUGAAACAGAAAAAUUAAAAGUAGAAGGGAUUAGUGAGAGAGAGCUGCUGCAGCCUUUUGUUUGGUCUGCUCUGGAGGCUGGUGAGCCCCUGUGCAAGGAGCCCUACCUCAAGGUCCUCAUGCUUGAGCCCUGUAUGCCAUCGGGUAUCUUGGAGCAGUUUUGGGUGAGGUAUUUAAAUAGGGAAAAUACAUACAGUGUUAGAUUUUAGCCUAUCUUCCUCGUGGUGCAUGUUUGCAAAUGUUUUGUUUUAGUCUAGUAUGUGGUAGAUGUAAUGUUUUUAGCUAACACUCAAACAUAAACCAAGUUUUAUGGGAUGAAGUAAGGGCCAGCUUGGCUGAAAAUAGUUAUUGCUGCCUUCUGGUGGAAUAACCCAAUACCAGAACUAUUACCAGAUGUUAAAUUAAUAUAUAUGUCUGGAUGUACUAUAUAUUGUUUCCUUCAAUACUGAAUCCCUUAAAAGCUCCUUAUCAAUCUGCUUUGUUUUAUAUUCAGUGUACUGACAUAAGCUAGC